This is a long non-coding RNA of Artibeus jamaicensis (Jamaican fruit-eating bat), 737 nucleotides long. RefSeq lists it as uncharacterized. The record is from RefSeq and is a predicted model, not a curated record. Lineage: Eukaryota; Metazoa; Chordata; Mammalia; Chiroptera; Phyllostomidae. The transcript is spliced from 3 exons.
GAGCAGGGCUGCCAGAGAUGCCAAAGGAACAGGGCAAAGUGGGAUGGCAUCAUAGGAGGACUUGGUAAAACCUCAUCUCCUUCCACAGACAGGGAAGAACACUGUUGAUCAAGAUCCCUUCUCAAAUGUCUUUCCGAAAACAGUUUAAAGGUUUGUACGUUUUUACCAACUUUCUGUCCUUACAGUCUUUAAUCUCCCAUGAAAACCCCAGCACACCUGUGCCUCCCAUAACAGUGGCUCUUUCCCAGCAGGUACAUUUAGAGAAAGGAAUCUGUCAGCCCACUAAUAACAGUCCUGUCAAGGAAGGGAGGCGAUGCUGCCAGCGCAACAGGAGACACUAUCUCUGGAAAAUUACAGGAGUGCCUCAGUGUGCACGCUGGGCACGAAACCCUUCAGCAGAAGACUUCAUUCACAGCUUCCUAGAUGUGGCCGUAGGACCACAUGGUCGUCGGUGGGAUUAUUGUGGGACGUGGUGGAUUCCACUCCCUGGUCUGGGGCGGAAGGCGACCACUACGCACUCCUCUCCUCUCCUCACCUUCCCACCAGCUGGGACACAGGUGGGCCUGCCACCAGCGUGGAUCUCACAGACGAGGACAACGUGACCCCACGGAAGGAAUCUGUGAUCCUGAGUGCCCACAUGGAGCAAAGCUAACCCGAAGUAAGAGAAAAAUGAAUUUCUGUUCACUUCAGCCAUUAUGUUUCUGAGCCUUUUUGUAACUGUAGCUUAGCUUUCACUC